RNAcentral lists this transfer RNA (73 nucleotides) under Bos taurus (domestic cattle). It matches the Rfam family "tRNA". Rfam says of the family: Transfer RNA (tRNA) molecules are approximately 80 nucleotides in length. Their secondary structure includes four short double-helical elements and three loops (D, anti-codon, and T loops). RNAcentral also lists the same sequence under 4 other names. The record is from Rfam by way of RNAcentral. Lineage: Eukaryota; Metazoa; Chordata; Mammalia; Artiodactyla; Bovidae.
UUCCUGGAGGUUCAGUGGUUAGGACUCUGCACCUCAAAUGCCAGGGGCCCAGGCUCAAUCCUUGGUCAGGAAA